Molecule: long non-coding RNA, 456 nt
Organism: Humulus lupulus (European hop)
Lineage: Eukaryota; Viridiplantae; Streptophyta; Magnoliopsida; Rosales; Cannabaceae
Exons: 3
Source: RefSeq, a predicted model, not a curated record
UUUGCUUAGUCACCUUUGGCUCUAUUUUCCUAACAGUAUCCAUAUCACACAUGUAACCCAGCCUUUGAAUUUGUCAAAGUUGAUAAGCUAGAUUAACUACCAUUAAUAUUAUGAUAUUAUCUUAUAAGUUAUAUCUUACCUUCAUGUGAUUCUAUGUGCAGCAACCAUUGCAACUUUGACAGACCUUGGCUUCCUAUGGUUUAGAGAAUUUUAUUUGGAAUCAUCUCGUGUUAUUCAGAUAUUUUAUACAAGGCAAAUAUGAAUACUGGAAGUGUCCUUGAAGUGUGCUUGAGCUUUUCGAUUUUUCACAUCAAGUCCUCAAUGUCGUAGAAGUAGAGACUCUGUCAUCUACACAAUCACCCAGGAAUCCUCACUUUUCCCAGAUGUGACAAGCGAAAUAGAAAAUGAUACUUAAUUUUGAAGGCUUUGUGUUGGGCAGCUGUAGAAUAUUUUGUG